RNAcentral lists this ribosomal RNA (487 nucleotides) under uncultured bacterium. RNAcentral describes it as "SSU rRNA". It matches the Rfam family "Bacterial small subunit ribosomal RNA", at positions 26 to 523 of the family's 1533-position model. The record is from RNAcentral.
AGGAUGAACGCUAGCGGCAGGCCUAAUACAUGCAAGUCGAACGGUGGUAGCAAUAUCAUAGUGGCGCACGGGUGCGUAACACGUAACUAACCUACCUAUAACUGGGGGAUAGCCCGCCGAAAGGCGGAUUAAUACCGCAUAAGCUGUUGAGGUGGCAUCACCUUAUUAGUAAAGAUUUAUUGGUUAUAGAUGGGGUUGCGGGUCAUUAGCUAGUUGGUAGGGUAACGGCUUACCAAGGCGACGAUGACUAGGGGAGCUGAGAGGCUGGUCCCCCACACGGGCACUGAGAUACGGGCCCGACUCCUACGGGAGGCAGCAGUAGGGAAUAUUGGGCAAUGGGCGAGAGCCUGACCCAGCCAUGCCGCGUGCAGGAUGAAGGCUUUCUGAGUCGUAAACUGCUUUUGACAGGGAAGAAUAGGCUUACGUGUAGGCUGAUGACGGUACUGCAGAAUAGCACCGGCUAACUCCGCGCCAGCAGCCGCGGUAA